UAAAUCUUGAAGAACAUUAU
RNAcentral lists this small nuclear RNA (20 nucleotides) under Arabidopsis thaliana (thale cress). RNAcentral describes it as "snRNA_02669". The record is from RNAcentral. Lineage: Eukaryota; Viridiplantae; Streptophyta; Magnoliopsida; Brassicales; Brassicaceae.